AACGAACGCUGGCGGCGGGCUUAACACAGGCAAGUCGAGCGCCCUGCAAGGGGAGCGGCAGACGGGUGAGUAACGCGUGGGAAUCUAGCCGGAGCUGCGGAAUAGCUCCGGGAAACGGGAAUUAAUACCGCAUGUGCCCUGAGGGGCAAAGAUUUAUCGGUUCAGGAUGAGCCCGCGUCCGAUUAGCUAGUUGGUGGGGUAAUGGCCUACCAAGGAGCCGAUCGGUAGCUGGUCUAAGAGGAUGGUCAGCCACAUUGUGACUGAGACACGGCCGAAAAGCCGACGGGAAGCAGCAGUGGGGAAUAUUGGACAAUGGGCGCAAGCCUGAUCCAGCCAUGCCGCGUGAGUGAUGAAGGCCCUAGGGUUGUAAAGCUCUUUCAGUGGGGACGAUAAUGACGGUACCCACAGAAGAAGCCCCGGCUAACAUCGUGCCAGCCGCCGCGGUAA
Molecule: ribosomal RNA, 447 nt
Filed under: uncultured bacterium
Lineage: Bacteria
Description: partial 16S ribosomal RNA
Rfam family: Bacterial small subunit ribosomal RNA
Source: RNAcentral